GGUUAAUUAUAUUUUAUUAAUAAGCUGGGAUUUUUUCCAUGCAUAUUUACAUGUUUAGGUGGCAUAGUCCGCAUGUUGGGAGAAAUAAUUCAGUGGGACUAGCUAUUUAGAUAUAGAAAGCGCAUUACCCUUCUAAUAUUAUAACUAAUCAGGAGUUAAUAGCAAAAAAGCUGGAUUGUGCAUGUUCACUGUUUAGCAUUUUAUCAACAAGUGGAUCGGAAUUGACCAGAUGUCGAUCGACCAUCCGAAGUGGAACAUGCGGGCAGCAUGGCACGAGGGUCUUGUUGGUGGGUUGACAUUUUCCCAAUUGUCACUGUCAUUAUCCACUGAGAUUACCAGCUAGAGGAAUGUGCUUUGUUAGCAACCAGGGUCAACCGGUCAUGUGGCAGUAGUGUACUGUCUUAAUGCUAAUACACCUCAUACGUACACCGGUCAACCCCUUAUUUUCUUUAUAGAUAUCUCAACGUUCUUUCUGUGUUCUGAGUGGGGCUGUUACUACUUUUGCAUCAGCAUCUGAUCGAAAAGGUUCCGUGGAUAAUUGGAACCACGUAGGAGGAGUACUAGCAUCCUGUUGCUAGCUAAUUAAUCAAGCUUGGUGUUAACAAACUUACACAUGUGGAUCGUGACUAGUUAAAUACUCUGUGUUAGCGUGACACGUUGCCAUCAACCUACUUUAUAGUGCUCCUGCAUGCAGGUGUUGUGCUAGUAGAUUGCAGCUGGAUAACGUAGUUAUGCCACCAUGUGUUUGGCUGAUGGCUGCACUAACAUGUUACUGUUGUCGGCGAACGAAACAAACCAUUACUUAAUUAGCUCACGGGUCACGGCCGGUUUUAAUUAUUAAUUUGGGCAAUGCUGAUCUUAAACAUUGCGAUGACUAACGAACUGUUGGUUUCUCCUGUGCAUGCAUUGUGCUGAACCCAAAAGAGCGAGAAGGAAACUUUACUUUUCAAAGUGAGAAUAUUAAUUGGCAGAAACACUCGCAUCUAACUGGGACACGUUUUGUGCAUUAUUUACUGGGUUUUAGGAGUAGUGUGAUACGUACGACUCAUUAGUUUCCUGCAAAUUUAGUUACACAAAUACACCCUGUCCAGUCUUUUUGCUCUCUGUAUAAGAUUUCUGUCACGUCAAACCUUAUAAACAUUAACCAAAUUUAUAUUAAAACAUAUCGAUACCUAUAAUACCAAAUAUAUCCUCUCCGUUACUAAAUAUAAUCGCUUUUAGAAAUUUUAAUAUGAACCAUAUAUGAAG
This 1248-nucleotide long non-coding RNA is filed under the name Hordeum vulgare. Its description in RNAcentral is "long non-coding RNA (HVUL_LNC011444)". The record is from RNAcentral. Lineage: Eukaryota; Viridiplantae; Streptophyta; Magnoliopsida; Poales; Poaceae.